Molecule: ribosomal RNA, 466 nt
Filed under: uncultured bacterium
Lineage: Bacteria
Description: bacterial SSU rRNA
Rfam family: Bacterial small subunit ribosomal RNA
Source: RNAcentral
UGGGGAAUAUUGGGCAAUGGAGGGAACUCUGACCCAGCCAUGCCGCGUGCAGGAUGAAGGCGUUAUGCGUUGUAAACUGCUUUUAUAUAGGAAGAAAUAGUCCUUGCGAGGAAAGUUGACGGUACUAUAUGAAUAAGCACCGGCUAACUCCGUGCCAGCAGCCGCGGUAAUACGGAGGGUGCAAGCGUUGUCCGGAUUUAUUGGGUUUAAAGGGUGCGUAGGCGGUUUAUUAAGUCAGUGGUGAAAGACGGUCGCUCAACGAUUGCAGUGCCAUUGAUACUGGUAGACUUGAGUAUGAUUGAGGUAGCUGGAAUGGAUAGUGUAGCGGUGAAAUGCAUAGAUAUUAUCCAGAACACCAAUUGCGUAGGCAAGUUACUAAGUCAUAACUGACGCUGAGGCACGAAAGUGUGGGUAUCAAACAGGAUUAGAUACCCGUGUAGUCCCUGAGCGGGCUGGCAAGGCGCAU